UACGGAGGAUCCGAGCGUUAUCCGGAUUUAUUGGGUUUAAAGGGUGCGUAGGCGGUUUGAUAAGUUAGAGGUGAAAUGUCGGGGCUCAACCCCGAAACUGCCUCUAAUACUGUUGGACUAGAGAAUAGUUGCGGUAGGCGGAAUGUAUGGUGUAGCGGUGAAAUGCAUAGAUAUCACGCAGAACCCCGAUUGCGAAGGCAGCAUACCGGUGCACAACUGACGCUCAGGCACGAAAGCGUGGGUAUCGAACAGG
Molecule: ribosomal RNA, 253 nt
Filed under: uncultured Rikenellaceae bacterium
Lineage: Bacteria; Pseudomonadati; Bacteroidota; Bacteroidia; Bacteroidales; Rikenellaceae
Description: partial 16S ribosomal RNA
Rfam family: Bacterial small subunit ribosomal RNA
Source: RNAcentral